UACGUAGGGUGCAAGCGUUAAUCGGAAUUACUGGGCGUAAAGCGUACGCAGGCGGCUUUGCAAGUCAGGUGUGAAAUCCCCGGGCCUAACCUGGGAACUGCAUUUGUGACUGCAUGGCUAGAGUUUGUCAGAGGGGGGUGGAAUUCCACGUGUAGCAGUGAAAUGCGUAGAUAUGUGGAGGAACACCGAUGGCGAAGGCAGCCCCCUGGGAUGUGACUGACGCUCAUGUACGAAAGCGUGGGGAGCAAACAGG
This 253-nucleotide ribosomal RNA is filed under the name uncultured bacterium. RNAcentral describes it as "partial 16S ribosomal RNA". It matches the Rfam family "Bacterial small subunit ribosomal RNA", at positions 524 to 776 of the family's 1533-position model. The record is from RNAcentral.